AUCACUUCUUGGCCUUUUGGCUAAGAUCAGGUUUAGUAUCUGUUCUUACCAGUUUAAUACAAUUGUGAAAAAUAAGGAGAAAUCCAUCAUCUCCAACAAUAGAUUUUUU
RNAcentral lists this small nuclear RNA (109 nucleotides) under Ursus thibetanus thibetanus. RNAcentral describes it as "U2 spliceosomal RNA (ENSUTTG00000001475.1)". The stretch from base 1 to 88 matches the Rfam family "U2 spliceosomal RNA". Rfam says of the family: U2 is a small nuclear RNA (snRNA) component of the spliceosome (involved in pre-mRNA splicing). Complementary binding between U2 snRNA (in an area lying towards the 5' end but 3' to hairpin I) and the branchpoint sequence (BPS) of the intron results the bulging out of an unpaired adenosine, on the BPS, which initiates a nucleophilic attack at the intronic 5' splice site, thus starting the first of two transesterification reactions that mediate splicing. The record is from RNAcentral. Lineage: Eukaryota; Metazoa; Chordata; Mammalia; Carnivora; Ursidae.